RNAcentral lists this ribosomal RNA (135 nucleotides) under uncultured Methanothermobacter sp. Its description in RNAcentral is "partial 16S ribosomal RNA". It matches the Rfam family "Archaeal small subunit ribosomal RNA", at positions 358 to 495 of the family's 1478-position model. The record is from RNAcentral. Lineage: Archaea; Methanobacteriati; Methanobacteriota; Methanobacteria; Methanobacteriales; Methanobacteriaceae.
CGCCAAGUGCGACGGGGGACCCCAAGUGCCACUCUUAACGGGGUGGCUUUUCAGAAGUGUAAAAAGCUUCUGGAAUAAGGGCUGGGCAAGACCGGUGCCAGCCGCCGCGGUAACACCGGCAGCUCAAGUGGUAGC